This 3502-nucleotide long non-coding RNA is filed under the name Homo sapiens (human). RNAcentral's name for it is "HSALNT0396839". The record is from RNAcentral. Lineage: Eukaryota; Metazoa; Chordata; Mammalia; Primates; Hominidae.
AGCCAGAGCUUGGGAUCGCUUUCUGCUAUUCAACGUCCUCCACCUCUGCCCCCCUCUCGCCCCAGCCGGUGACAGGCUGUUGCCCUGUGAUCUGCAGGUCCUGGGACGUGCACAGACAGCUAAGAUGCCAGGACAUUCCAGAAGGUGGGAAAGGGCGCCUGUAAUUUCAGCUACUCCGGGGGCUGAGGCAGGAGAAUCGCUUGAACUCGGGAAGCAGAAGUUGCAGUGAGCCAAGGUCGCACCACUGCACUCCAGCCCAGGCGACAUUGUGAGACUCCAUCUCAAAAAAAAAAAAAAGAAAAAAAGUGUACUAACAAGACCCAGCACACAGAGGAGACUUUUACCAUUGUAUGAACACCCAUCAAACAGUACACAUCAUCAUUGUGAGUUCUGAAUCUCACACAUAGAGGAAGUCAAAGGUGGAAAACUUGACUCUCAUAUUUGGAUCCAGUCCACAGGUUCUGCUAGCAAGGAAGACUGAGACAUAUUGUGGGGCUCUACGCCAAUGUGACAUUACUGUUCUGCCUUGGCCUGUACCUGAAAAGGCAUUGUGACAUAUUGCUGGGCCCAGCAACAAGGUGGCAUGAGUCUUCCGUAUGGACCCUGACAACAGAGCAUUGUGACAUAUCUUUAAGAGCAUCAACUAUUUGAUGUGACUCUCCUUUUCUACCAAGGCUUUCCUCAUAUGAGAGAUUGUGACACAUCUUCUGGCACAGAAAUCAAGUGAUGUGUUUCUCCUGCCUGAGCUUUGCUCAUAGAAAGCAUUGUGACAUAUCUCUGGUCUCAGCACCCAGGUAAUGUGACUCUACUCUCUGUGCCCUGAUUUCAGGAGAAAAUUUAUAUGCCUAAGCACCCAGUUUUUAACUCUUCUGCCUUGUGCCUGUUCUCAGAGAAGAUUGUGACAUAUACCUGGCCUAUUACACAGAUGAUAUAAGUCUCCUGCUCUCUCCCUAUCCACAGGGGAGAUUGUGACAUAUAUCUUUGUUCAGAUCAUUGGUGCAAUGUUGACUCUCAUAUCUGAAAUCAGCCAAUAGGAGACAUACUAUCUCUCAUAUGUGGGCUUAGGAAAAUGGGUAAGAUUCUGGCUCUCCCCUUUGUAGGAAGGUUAAAGAAAAUUACAGUCUCUCCCAUAUUGUAUAAAGCCCUCCAGUGCUCCAGAAAGUGUCAUAACAGGGUCCAGAAAACGAGAUUGUUUUAUAUUUGCACAGUUUGCCAAUUGUUAAGAUUGUCACCCUCAUCCAUGGACAGAGCCUACUGGUGAGGUCUUAAAUUUUACAUGUGGAUGCAGUGCAGAGUUAAAAUUGUGACUGUCAUAUGUGAACAUCAGGCAACAUGAGGUGGUGACUCAUUAGCCUAGCUUAUAGGCAGGUGUCAACUCUCAUAUCUGGACCCAGCCAUUACAGAGAUGUUGACUCUCUCAUCUGAGCAUAGAGCCACAGGUAUGAUCAUGGGCCCAUACCAGCACAAAUGUUUCCUAGUCACAAAAGAUUGUGACUCUCAUGCAUACCUUAUAAAUCCUCGGUUGGUACAGAGAGUAUUCUAGCUAGACUCAGUGUACAGCUGUUUUGACAUUCCUGUAUACCCAGUCGACAGUAAAGAUUAUCAUCUUUUCACAAGAACGGUCCACUGGAAAUUCUGAAUCUCAUAUGCAGAGACAGUUGCAAGUUGUAAAAUUUACUCAUAAGUGAAUCCAGUCCAAAGGUAAGUUGGUGACUUUCAGACCAAGAUUGAACACACCUGUUUGUCUGAUUCCACUAAGGUGACACAGCCAGUAAGAGGGAUUGAGUCUCUCAUUCAGUGAUUCAGCUCAUUCUAAAAAUUGUGACUAUGUACUUAGACCCAACAUACAGGAGGUGUUGACUCUCAUACCAAGAAUUAGGGUACGUACAGGAUUGUUAAUCUCAUCUCUGGUCUUUCCUUCAGGUGUGAUUUUGACGCACACUUCUGCCCAGCACCUGAGUAAUGUGAUUCUUCAGAAUUGGCCCGGCCCACAAAUAGGAUUGUGCCACACUGCUGGACCCAGUGCCUAAGUGAUGUAACUCUAUUCUUCUGCCUUGGUGCUACUCGAAAAAGACAUUGUAACAUAUCUCAGAGCCUUACACCCAGGUAAUGUGAGUCUCCUCUUCUGCCUUGCUGCUGCACACAGAAGCGGAAUAUGUACAGGAUUGUUAAUCUCAUCUUGGAUCUUCCUGCACUUGUGAUUGUGACACAUGCCUCUGUGUAGAACCUGAGUGAGUUUACUCUCCUGCCUGGAUUUAACCCAUAGAUGGAAUCGUGACAUAUCACUGUACCAGAAACUAGGUGAUGUGACUCUAUUUUCUUGCCUCUGUGUUUUUAUAUGGGGCAUCGUGACAUAUCACUGGGCCUUGCACCCAAGUGAUGGGAGUUUUCUCUCCUGCUUUGGUGCCGUCCACAAUGAAAAUUGUGAAAUAUUGCUGCCCUCCCCACUAGGUUAUGUUACUCUCCUGCCUCUGCUUUGCCCACAUGGGUCACUGUGACAUAUUGCUGGGUCUAAAACCCAGGUAAUGUCACUCUCUUGUUUGGGUUCUGCCUGCAGGAGUCAUUGUCACAUAUCUCUAUGCUCAUCACCCAGGUAAUAUGAUUCCCUUUUACUGCUUAGUUCCUUCUCACAAAACAACUUGUGACAUAUUGCUAGGCCCAAUACACCUAGCUGGUGUAACUCUUCUUUUCUUUUCUUUCCUUUUUUUUUUUUUUUUUUUGAGAUGGAGUCUCACUCUGUUGCCCAGGCUGGAGUGCAGCGGCAUGAUUUCAGCUCACUACAGCCUCUGCCUCCUAGGUUGAAGCGAUUGUCCUGACUUGGCCUCCCAAGUAGCUGGGAUUAAAGGCAUGUGCCACCACGCCCGGCUAAUUUUUGUAUUUAUAGUAGAGACAGGGUUUCGCCAUGUUGGCUAGGCUGGUUUCGAACUUCUAACCUCAGGUGAUCCUCCUGCCUCGGCCUCCCAAAGUACUGGAAUUACAGGCAUGAGCCACUGCACCUGGCCUGAUUCUUCUCUUCUUUCUAGGUUUCAACUGCAGCAGAGAUUGUAACAAACCACUGGGCCCAGCCGCAUAAUGAUGUUACUCUUUUGCCUUGGGCCUGCCCUCAGAAGGCACUGUCACAUAUUCAUGGGCCCAACGCCAAGGUGAUAUGUGUCUCCAGCCUGGACCCUGCCCACAGGGGGCAUUGUGACAUAUCUCUUGGCCCAUCAGAUGUUUGAUUGUUAUCCCCUCCCCUCUUCUACCCUGUGUUUGCCUAUAAAAGACACAGUCAUAUGUUCCUGGGCCCAGCACCUAGGUGUUGUCUUACUGGAAUGUGUCCACAUGGGGAUUGUGAUAUGUCACGUGGCCCAGUACUUAACUUGAUGUGACUCUCCUCUCAUGCCUAGGCCUUGUAGAGAAUCCCCUUCCCCUUUUGUUUUCCUUUUUUUCUUUGCAGAUCCAGGAGAUAAUCAACUAAGAGCCAGGCACCCGUUUAGGUCUAAUAAACAUUUUACAAACUGCU